UCUCUAAGCACUGCAAUCAAUCAAGUGCUGUUCAGGAUUCCAGCCUGCAGAGAGCACGCAAACCUGGGCACUCAAGGGGCAGCUCCUAUGGUCUCAAUGCCAUCAGCACCUUGACACGGGACUGCGACUUCUAUAGCCAAUCGGCCCUGCAAUAAAGCACCAUGAGGGUCAGCUGGGUCUGACCACCUUUCUGGGGCCCAAGUAAACAUUCGUGUUUGGUGGAAAACAAAUACGACUCACAUUUUAUUGUAGCUCUACAACAAGUGAUAAUUCCAGAAUUGGUGCUUGGGAAAUCACUGUGACAUCACUGAAGGUCAACUAUAGAUACCUGAGACUCCCUGGGGUGACCCGGACAUGUGUCUGUUCUACCACUCCAGCAUCUUGAGCAGCAAAUGAGGUGCAUCUUUGAAUAUGAGGGUUGAAAAGCCGAUCGACGGUCAAGUUCUGAAAUAAACAGAAAAACUACCAGAUCAGAGAAGGAGCCUGAGCUGAUCGUACAAAGUCAAGCACAGUUGGAGCCGGGGCGUUCAAAAGAUUCCUGCUGGUCCCCAGUAAUAACCAAAGCAGUCAAGGAUGGAGGGCAGCUCAAGGGCCUGUGCUCACUUUCUCCCUACCCUUUACAGAUGUGUCAUCGGUUGUUUCUGCAAAUGUUUGAUGUUGCUCAGAACACUGUGGGACGGAGUCAUGUGUAAAUCACAAACAGUCUUAACACACU
This 715-nucleotide long non-coding RNA is filed under the name Rattus norvegicus (Norway rat). RNAcentral's name for it is "long non-coding RNA NONRATT029843". The record is from RNAcentral. Lineage: Eukaryota; Metazoa; Chordata; Mammalia; Rodentia; Muridae.